AGAGUUUGAUCCUGGCUCAGGAUGAACGCUAGCGACAGGCUUAACACAUGCAAGUCGAGGGGCAGCGGGGGCGUAGCAAUAUGCCUGCCGGCGACCGGCGCACGGGUGAGUAACACGUAUGUAACCUGCCCUAUGCAGGGGGAUAACCCGGAGAAAUCCGGCCUAAUACCGCGUAACACCUUAGGGGAGCAUUCUCUUGAGGUUAAAGGAGAGAUCCGGCAUAGGAUGGACAUGCGUCGCAUUAGGUAGACGGCGGGGUAACGGCCCACCGUGCCGACGAUGCGUAGGGGUUCUGAGAGGAAGGCCCCCCACACUGGUACUGAGACACGGACCAGACUCCUACGGGAGGCAGCAGUGAGGAAUAUUGGUCAAUGGCCGAGAGGCUGAACCAGCCAAGUCGCGUGAGGGAAGAAUGUCCUAAGGAUUGUAAACCUCUUUUGUCGGGGAGCAAAAAGGCUCUGCGGAGUCGUAUUGAGAGUACCCGAAGAAAAAGCAUCGGCCAACUCCGUGCCAGCAGCCGCGGUAAAACGGAGGAUGCGAGCGUUAUCCGGAUUUAUUGGGUUUAAAGGGUGCGCAGGCGGCGUGUCAAGCAAGCGGUAAAAUAGCGGGGCUCAACCCCGUCGAGCCGUUUGAACUGGCGCGCUUGAGUUCAGGCGAGGUAGGCGGAAUUCGUGGUGUAGCGGUGAAAUGCAUAGAUAUCACGAAGAACUCCGAUUGCGAAGGCAGCUUACCAGUCUGCGACUGACGCUCAGGCACGAAAGUGUGGGUAUCGAACAGGAUUAGAUACCCUGGUAGUCCACACAGUAAACGAUGAGCGCUAGGUGUCCGGGUCGCAUGAGACUUGGGUGCCCGAGCGAAAGCGUUAAGCGCUCCACCUGGGGAGUACGCCGGCAACGGUGAAACUCAAAGGAAUUGACGGGGGCCCGCACAAGCGGAGGAACAUGUGGUUUAAUUCGAUGAUACGCGAGGAACCUUACCCGGGCUCAAACGACUCAGGAAUAUAUUGGAAACGAUGUAGCCAGCAAUGGUCUGAGUCGAGGUGCUGCAUGGUUGUCGUCAGCUCGUGCCGUGAGGUGUCGGCUUAAGUGCCAUAACGAGCGCAACCCCUACCGCCAGUUGCCAACGGGUAAAGCCGGGAACUCUGGCGGGACUGCCGGCGCAAGCUGUGAGGAAGGCGGGGAUGACGUCAAAUCAGCACGGCCCUUACGUCCGGGGCGACACACGUGUUACAAUGGCAGGUACAGCGGGAAGCCACCUGGUGACAGGGAGCGGAACCCGAAAGCCUGUCUCAGUUCGGAUUGGAGUCUGCAACUCGACUCCAUGAAGCUGGAUUCGCUAGUAAUCGCGCAUCAGCCAUGGCGCGGUGAAUACGUUCCCGGGCCUUGCACACACCGCCCGUCA
Molecule: ribosomal RNA, 1401 nt
Filed under: uncultured bacterium
Lineage: Bacteria
Description: 16S ribosomal RNA
Rfam family: Bacterial small subunit ribosomal RNA
Source: RNAcentral